Molecule: ribosomal RNA, 610 nt
Filed under: Bacillus sp. CH109a
Lineage: Bacteria; Bacillati; Bacillota; Bacilli; Caryophanales; Bacillaceae
Also listed under: 1 other name
Description: bacterial SSU rRNA
Rfam family: Bacterial small subunit ribosomal RNA
Source: RNAcentral
GCAAGUCGAGCGGACAGAUGGGAGCUUGCUCCCUGAUGUUAGCGGCGGACGGGUGAGUAACACGUGGGUAACCUGCCUGUAAGACUGGGAUAACUCCGGGAAACCGGGGCUAAUACCGGAUGCUUGUUUGAACCGCAUGGUUCAAACAUAAAAGGUGGCUUCGGCUACCACUUACAGAUGGACCCGCGGCGCAUUAGCUAGUUGGUGAGGUAACGGCUCACCAAGGCAACGAUGCGUAGCCGACCUGAGAGGGUGAUCGGCCACACUGGGACUGAGACACGGCCCAGACUCCUACGGGAGGCAGCAGUAGGGAAUCUUCCGCAAUGGACGAAAGUCUGACGGAGCAACGCCGCGUGAGUGAUGAAGGUUUUCGGAUCGUAAAGCUCUGUUGUUAGGGAAGAACAAGUACCGUUCGAAUAGGGCGGUACCUUGACGGUACCUAACCAGAAAGCCACGGCUAACUACGUGCCAGCAGCCGCGGUAAUACGUAGGUGGCAAGCGUUGUCCGGAAUUAUUGGGCGUAAAGGGCUCGCAGGCGGUUUCUUAAGUCUGAUGUGAAAGCCCCCGGCUCAACCGGGGAGGGUCAUUGGAAACUGGGGAACUUGAGUGC